RNAcentral lists this transfer RNA (73 nucleotides) under Candidatus Omnitrophota bacterium. Its description in RNAcentral is "tRNA-Arg". It matches the Rfam family "tRNA". From Rfam's summary of the family: Transfer RNA (tRNA) molecules are approximately 80 nucleotides in length. Their secondary structure includes four short double-helical elements and three loops (D, anti-codon, and T loops). The record is from RNAcentral. RNAcentral also lists the same sequence under 1 other name. Lineage: Bacteria; Pseudomonadati; Candidatus Omnitrophota.
GUCCCUGUAGCUCAAUUGGAUAGAGCGCAGGCCUCCGGAGCCUGUAGUGGCAGUUCGAUUCUGCCCAGGGACA